CUAUGCCAGCAUCUUGCCU
RNAcentral lists this microRNA (19 nucleotides) under Rattus norvegicus (Norway rat). Its description in RNAcentral is "rno-miR-31b". Its record names the gene rno-miR-31b. The record is from miRBase by way of RNAcentral. Lineage: Eukaryota; Metazoa; Chordata; Mammalia; Rodentia; Muridae.